RNAcentral lists this ribosomal RNA (253 nucleotides) under uncultured bacterium. RNAcentral's name for it is "partial 16S ribosomal RNA". It matches the Rfam family "Bacterial small subunit ribosomal RNA", at positions 524 to 776 of the family's 1533-position model. The record is from RNAcentral.
UACAGAGGGGGCAAGCGUUAUUCGGAAUUAUUGGGCGUAAAGGGCGCGUAGGCGGCCUGGCAAGUGGAAGGUGAAAUCCCUCGGCUUAACCGAGGAACUGCCCUCCAAACUGCUUGGCUUGAGUCCGGGAGAGGUGAGUGGAAUUCCCAGUGUAGGGGUGAAAUGCGUAGAUAUUGGGAGGAACACCAGUGGCGAAGGCGGCUCACUGGACCGGAACUGACGCUGAGGCGCGAAAGCGUGGGGAGCAAACGGG